RNAcentral lists this small nucleolar RNA (138 nucleotides) under Neogale vison (American mink). Lineage: Eukaryota; Metazoa; Chordata; Mammalia; Carnivora; Mustelidae. The record is from RNAcentral.
GGUGCACAUUGUUAGAGCUUGGAGUUGAGGCCACUGGCUGGCCGGUGGACUCCCAAGUAGUGUAGGUGGCAUGCGACACAACUGAUGAGGGGCUCUGGCUCAGUGAAUGCAGUUUGGUAGUAAACCUUUGCAACAAGU